UUGACGGGGGCCCGCACAAGCGGUGGAUGAUGUGGAUUAAUUCGAUGCAACGCGAAAAACCUUACCUACCCUUGACAUGCCAGGAACUUUCCAGAGAUGGAUUGGUGCCCGAAAGGGAGCCUGGACACAGGUGCUGCAUGGCUGUCGUCAGCUCGUGUCGUGAGAUGUUGGGUUAAGUCCCGCAACGAGCGCAACCCUUGUCAUUAAUUGCCAUCAUUUAGUUGGGCACUUUAAUGAGACUGCCGGUGACAAACCGGAGGAAGGUGGGGAUGACGUCAAGUCCUCAUGGCCCUUAUGGGUAGGGCUUCACACGUCAUACAAUGGUCGGUACAGAGGGUUGCCAAGCCGCGAGGUGGAGCCAAUCCCAGAAAGCCGAUCGUAGUCCGGAUCGCAGUCUGCAACUCGACUGCGUGAAGUCGGAAUCGCUAGUAAUCGCGGAUCAGCAUGUCGCGGUGAAUACGUUCCCGGGUCUUGUACACACCGCCCGUCACACCAUGGGAGUGGGUUCUACCAGAAGUAGUUAGCCUAACCGUAAGGAGGGCGAUUACCACGGUAGGAUUCAUGACUGGGGUGAAGUCGUAACAAG
This 586-nucleotide ribosomal RNA is filed under the name uncultured Azospira sp. Its description in RNAcentral is "bacterial SSU rRNA". It matches the Rfam family "Bacterial small subunit ribosomal RNA", at positions 910 to 1495 of the family's 1533-position model. Lineage: Bacteria; Pseudomonadati; Pseudomonadota; Betaproteobacteria; Rhodocyclales; Rhodocyclaceae. The record is from RNAcentral.